GAUGAACGCUGGCGGCGUGCCUAAUACAUGCAAGUCGAGCGAACGGACGAGAAGCUUGCUUCUCUGAUGUUAGCGGCGGACGGGUGAGUAACACGUGGAUAACCUACCUAUAAGACUGGGAUAACUUCGGGAAACCGGAGCUAAUACCGGAUAAUAUUUUGAACCGCAUGGUUCAAAAGUGAAAGACGGUCUUACUGUCACUUAUAGAUGGAUCCGCGCUGCAUUAGCUAGUUGGUAAGGUAACGGCUUACCAAGGCAACGAUGCAUAGCCGACCUGAGAGGGUGAUCGGCCACACUGGAACUGAGACACGGUCCAGACUCCCACGGGAGGCAGCAGUAGGGAAUCUUCCGCAAUGGGCGAAAGCCUGACGGAGCAACGCCGCGUGAGUGAUGAAGGUCUUCGGAUCGUAAAACUCUGUUAUUAGGGAAGAACAUAUGUGUAAGUAACUGUGCACAUCUUGACGGUACCUAAUCAGAAAGCCACGGCUAACUACGUG
This 497-nucleotide ribosomal RNA is filed under the name uncultured bacterium. RNAcentral describes it as "partial 16S ribosomal RNA". It matches the Rfam family "Bacterial small subunit ribosomal RNA", at positions 28 to 507 of the family's 1533-position model. The record is from RNAcentral.